GUGGGGAAUUUUGGACAAUGGGCGCAAGCCUGAUCCAGCAAUGCCGCGUGCAGGAAGAAGGCCUUCGGGUUGUAAACUGCUUUUGUACGGAACGAAACGGUCCUGGUUAAUACCCGGGGCUAAUGACGGUACCGUAAGAAUAAGCACCGGCUAACUACGUGCCAGCAGCCGCGGUAAUACGUAGGGUGCAAGCGUUAAUCGGAAUUACUGGGCGUAAAGCGUGCGCAGGCGGUUUUGUAAGACAGGCGUGAAAUCCCCGGGCUCAACCUGGGAAUUGCGCUUGUGACUGCAAGGCUGGAGUGCGGCAGAGGGGGAUGGCAUUCCGCGUGUAGCAGUGAAAUGCGUAGAUAUGCGGAGGAACACCGAUGGCGAAGGCAAUCCCCUGGGCCUGCACUGACGCUCAUGCACGAAAGCGUGGGGAGCAAACAGGAUUAGAUACCCGUGUAGUCC
RNAcentral lists this ribosomal RNA (450 nucleotides) under uncultured bacterium. RNAcentral describes it as "partial 16S ribosomal RNA". It matches the Rfam family "Bacterial small subunit ribosomal RNA", at positions 354 to 796 of the family's 1533-position model. The record is from RNAcentral.